UACGGAGGGUGCAAGCGUUAAUCGGAAUUACUGGGCGUAAAGCGUGCGUAGGCGGCUGCUUAAGUCAGAUGUGAAAGCCCCGGGCUCAACCUGGGAACGGCAUUUGAUACUGGGUAGCUCGAGUUGAGUAGAGGAGAGGGGAAUUUCCGGUGUAGUGUUGAAAUGCGUAGAGAUCGGAAGGAACACCUGUGGCGAAGGCGCCUCUCUGGACUCAAACUGACGCUGAGGUACGAAUGCGUGGGUCGCAAACAGG
This 253-nucleotide ribosomal RNA is filed under the name uncultured bacterium. RNAcentral describes it as "partial 16S ribosomal RNA". It matches the Rfam family "Bacterial small subunit ribosomal RNA", at positions 524 to 776 of the family's 1533-position model. The record is from RNAcentral.